This is a long non-coding RNA of Lolium perenne, 1803 nucleotides long. RefSeq lists it as uncharacterized. Lineage: Eukaryota; Viridiplantae; Streptophyta; Magnoliopsida; Poales; Poaceae. The record is from RefSeq and is a predicted model, not a curated record.
AGCAUGGACAAGCUCCAUGUACGAUCCCCAACCGCAGCCAAAAGAAUUCGAGUACCCAUUACCGCGAGCCCUCCUAAUCCCCAACCGCAUCCGCCCUACGCCCCGUCCGAAGGCAGCGCCGCCAGCCCCCUCCAAUGCCGCCGCGCCGCCAGCCCACUCCAGCGCCACCGCCCGAUGCAUGGACGCCCUCCCCCUACGCGACCGGCGCCCUAAGCCAGGCGCGGCCUUGCAUCCCCAACGCCGCCGCCCUAGGACGCCGCCCUGCAUCUCCAAUAUCGCGCCGCCCGUUCACCCGACGCGAGGACGCCUCUGCCUGAAUCGAGGACGUCAGCGCCCUGCACCACUGCUCCUCGAAGCCACACUACCUCUGAAGACAAACGCUGUACUGGAACUAGCUCACAGUAUCAACCACAUCGUAUUGCUUUCUGGGACGCCCUCUUUGUCAAGGUUGCAACUUCUAAAUAUACCCAUUGAAUUUCUCUCGGGGAUCCUUGUGCUGUUGUGCUAUUUUACUCAUGGAUAUAUAAAACUUUGAACAUGCAAAUAGAUUUAUAGUUUUACCAUUUUCCUGAAGAUGUAGUUCGUAGUUGUACUGUUUUCUUGUUACCAGUUGUUACAUGUGAUAUUUAUAUAUUCUAUGUGUAAGCUCAGUAUCUGUAUUGCGAUGUUAAAAGUGCCAUGUGUGGCUUUCCAUUCUUAUACUUUUUACCCUGCGCAUAAUAUAUCUGACUGCUUGUCUGAGGUUGACUCUCCAUAUUUGUUUGUUUUUUGGGGAUUUAACUUACAGUGUUUUCUCCUAGGUGACAACAGACCUUUUGACAUCUAUCACCAGAUAAAUAUGUUACGGUAAGGAAUGCAGAAUGACAUCUCAUUGUGUUGGUCAUAUCGAUCUUUCGUGAUCACACUCUCCCUUGUUUUUCUGUCCCAAUUUGCUUGGACAUGAUAAAUUUGAGUUUGCAAGGACAUACUGUUCACUUCAUGUUGCUCAAAGAUCUCACGGUAAAACCUACCAGGUAUUUAUAUCUUGUGAUUGUCCUUAUUGUCAAGGAGAUUGGCAGGUUGCUAUUACUAAGCUCUAUUAGAUUAUCAUUUGUUAUGUUAGGCACCGUCAGUGUUGCAGCCUUGCAGGCAUAAAUAAGUUUCAGUAAACAUGAAAUAAUGGUUCUUGCAGACUUGCACUUGCAAUUAAGUUCAGGAAGUAGUAUUUGACAAUCUGUACGUAAAGGGUUUGAUAUUUUUUACACGUUGUUUCAUAUGCAGGACUUUUCAAAGGGUGCUCGGUUGACGGAGUUAAAUGUUUUGCUCAGUCAGACUCUCAUGCCUGUCGGUGGCCAUCUCGCUGCAGGCUAAGCACAUGAAGAAGUUUGGGAAGAUUUGGUCAAGAUUCUCAAAAAGUAUGACAAGAGAACUGGGGUCCUUAUCCGUCUCCUCUUCAUUCAAAAUGCUCUGCUCCAACCUUUCUUCAACACUGAUAUGCCAGCUUGUCGGGGAGUGCGAGGCUAUGCUCGACCAGCUCCUACCAUAUUGAGCAAACCAUCUGUAUCGAAUGAACAAGGAACAAAAGAUAUCAACACCAAGACAAGCCUCUGAACCCUAUUUCUUCCUUGGAUAGCAACGGAUGCAUUCCAAAGCUUGAUUAGAUUGAGUUCAUGGAGAGCAUGUACAUGAAUAGCUUGAUGAGAUAGAUUGUAAAUUCUGUGCAAAUGUUAUGUCAUAUUGGGUGAUGUGAACGUAUCAUUGGUACACAUCCAGUUGUGCAAUUUGAAAUAUUUGUGGAAAAUACAUUUUAUUUUGUAUAAUGUC